This 497-nucleotide ribosomal RNA is filed under the name uncultured bacterium. Its description in RNAcentral is "partial 16S ribosomal RNA". It matches the Rfam family "Bacterial small subunit ribosomal RNA", at positions 28 to 507 of the family's 1533-position model. The record is from RNAcentral.
GAUGAACGCUGGCGGCGUGCCUAAUACAUGCAAGUCGAGCGAACAGACGAGGAGCUUGCUCCUCUGACGUUAGCGGCGGACGGGUGAGUAACACGUGGAUAACCUACCUAUAAGACUGGGAUAACUUCGGGAAACCGGAGCUAAUACCGGAUAAUAUAUUGAACCGCAUGGUUCAAUAGUGAAAGACGGUUUUGCUGUCACUUAUAGAUGGGUCCGCGCCGCAUUAGCUAGUUGGUAAGGUAACGGCUUACCAAGGCAACGAUGCGUAGCCGACCUGAGAGGGUGAUCGGCCACACUGGAACUGAGACACGGUCCAGACUCCUACGGGAGGCAGCAGUAGGGAAUCGUCCGCAAUGGGCGAAAGCUUGACGGAGCAACGCCGCGUGAGUGAUGAAGGUCUUCGGAUCGUAAAACUCUGUUAUUAGGGAAGAACAAAUGUGUAAGUAACUAUGCACGUCUUGACGGUACCUAAUGAGAAAGCCACGGCUAACUACGUG